RNAcentral lists this ribosomal RNA (497 nucleotides) under uncultured bacterium. RNAcentral's name for it is "partial 16S ribosomal RNA". It matches the Rfam family "Bacterial small subunit ribosomal RNA", at positions 28 to 507 of the family's 1533-position model. The record is from RNAcentral.
GACGAACGCUGGCGGCGUGCCUAAUACAUGCAAGUUGAGCGCUGAAGGUUGGUACUUGUACCAACUGGAUGAGCAGCGAACGGGUGAGUAACGCGUGGGGAAUCUGCCUUUGAGCGGGGGACAACAUUUUGAAACGAAUGCUAAUACCGCAUAAAAACUUUAAACACAAGUUUUAAGUUUGAAAGAUGCAAUUGCAUCACUCAAAGAUGAUCCCGCGUUGUAUUAGCUAGUUGGUGAGGUAAAGGCUCACCAAGGCGAUGAUACAUAGCCGACCUGAGAGGGUGAUCGGCCACAUUGGGACUGGGACACGGCCCAAACUCCUACGGGAGGCAGCAGUAGGGAAUCUUCGGCAAUGGACGAAAGUCUGACCGAGCAACGCCGCGUGAGUGAAGAAGGUUUUCGGAUCGUAAAACUCUGUUGGUAGAGAAGAACGUUGGUGAGAGUGGAAAGCUCAUCAAGUGACGGUAACUACCCAGAAAGGGACGGCUAACUACGUG